GGAGUGAUGACCUUUCGGGCUUUAGGAAGAGUGGGCUGAAGAUCUGUCCAGAGAGUGAUUCAAGCUGGAGCAGGUCCUGCAGAGGCCGCUCUGCUGGAGGAAGUGUCAGUUUUCUAACUGGAGAAGACUGGAGACAGAGGGAAGAGAAGUGGACAGCAAAAGGGAGCAAUGGGGUACUCUGCUAAAUGGAGUAAAGCAUCAAACUUGACCUGUUCAUUGGCUGAGGUUGUUACUGCCAGAAAGGAAAAG
Zalophus californianus (California sea lion) is the source of this 249-nucleotide long non-coding RNA. RefSeq lists it as uncharacterized. The transcript has 3 exons. Lineage: Eukaryota; Metazoa; Chordata; Mammalia; Carnivora; Otariidae. The record is from RefSeq and is a predicted model, not a curated record.